UGAGGAAUAUUGGUCAAUGGGCGAGAGCCUGAACCAGCCAAGUAGCGUGCAGGAUGACGGCCCUAUGGGUUGUAAACUGCUUUUAUGUGGGGAUAAAGUGCGUGACGUGUCAUGCAUUGCAGGUACCACAUGAAUAAGGACCGGCUAAUUCCGUGCCAGCAGCCGCGGUAAUACGGAAGGUCCGGGCGUUAUCCGGAUUUAUUGGGUUUAAAGGGAGCGUAGGCUGUCUAUUAAGCGUGUUGUGAAAUUUACCGGCUCAACCGGUGGCUUGCAGCGCGAACUGGUCGACUUGAGUAUGCAGGAAGUCGGCGGAAUUCAUGGUGUAGCGGUGAAAUGCUUAGAUAUCAUGACGAACUCCGAUUGCGCAGGCAGCUUACUGUAGCAUAACUGACGCUGAUGCUCGAAAGUGCGGGUAUCAAACAGG
This 424-nucleotide ribosomal RNA is filed under the name Fusobacteriota bacterium. RNAcentral describes it as "Fusobacteria bacterium partial 16S ribosomal RNA". It matches the Rfam family "Bacterial small subunit ribosomal RNA", at positions 355 to 776 of the family's 1533-position model. Lineage: Bacteria; Fusobacteriati; Fusobacteriota. The record is from RNAcentral.